UACGGAAGGCAGCAGUGGGGAAUAUUGCACAAUGGGCGCAAGCCUGAUGCAGCCAUGCCGCGUGUAUGAAGAAGGCCUUCGGGUUGUAAAGUACUUUCAGUCGUGAGGAAGGUGUUAAGGUUAAUAACCUUAGCAAUUGACGUUAGCGACAGAAGAAGCACCGGCUAACUCCGUGCCAGCAGCCGCGGUAAUACGGAGGGUGCGAGCGUUAAAUCGGAAUUACUGGGCGUAAAGGGCACGCAGGCGGUUAAUUAAGUUGGAUGUGAAAUCCCCGGGCUUAACCUGGGAAUGGCAUUCAAGACUGGUUAGCUAGAGUCUUGUAGAGGGGGUAGAAUUCCAUGUGUAGCGGUGAAAUGCGUAGAGAUGUGGAGGAAUACCGGUGGCGAAGGCGGCCCCUGGACAAAGACUGACGCUCAUGUGCGAAAGCGUGGGGAGCAAACAGGGAUUAGAUACC
Molecule: ribosomal RNA, 454 nt
Filed under: uncultured bacterium
Lineage: Bacteria
Description: bacterial SSU rRNA
Rfam family: Bacterial small subunit ribosomal RNA
Source: RNAcentral